RNAcentral lists this ribosomal RNA (795 nucleotides) under uncultured Pelagibacteraceae bacterium. RNAcentral's name for it is "bacterial SSU rRNA". It matches the Rfam family "Bacterial small subunit ribosomal RNA", at positions 41 to 883 of the family's 1533-position model. Lineage: Bacteria; Pseudomonadati; Pseudomonadota; Alphaproteobacteria; Candidatus Pelagibacterales; Candidatus Pelagibacteraceae. The record is from RNAcentral.
GGCACGCCUUAUACAUGCAAGUCGAACGCAGUAGCAAUACUGAGUGGCAGACGGGUGAGUAUAAUGUGGGAAUCUGCCUUUUGGUUUGGAAUAACUCGGGGAAACCUGAGCUAAUACUGGAUAAGCCCUUACGGGGAAAGCUUUAUGCGCCAAAAGAUGAGCCCGCACUUGAUUAGCUUGUUGGUGAGGUAAAAGCUCACCAAGGCAACGAUCAAUAGCUGUUCUUAGAGGAAGACCAGCCACAUUGGGACUGAGACACGGCCCAGACUCCUACGGGAGGCAGCAGUAAGGAAUCUUGCACAAUGGGGGAAACCCUGAUGCAGCGAUGCCGCGUGAGUGAAGAAGGCCUUUGGGUUGUAAAACUCUUUCGUCGGGGAAGAAAAUGACUGUACCCGAAUAAGAAGGUCCGGCUAACUUCGUGCCAGCAGCCGCGGUAAUACGAAGGGACCUAGCGUAGUUCGGAAUUACUGGGCUUAAAGAGCUCGUAGGUGGUUAGAAAAGUUGGUGGUGAAAUCCCAAGGCUCAACCUUGGAACUGCCAUCAAAACUUUCUAGCUUGAGUGUGAUAGAGGAAAGUGGAAUUUCUAGUGUAGAGGUGAAAUUCGUAGAUAUUAGAAAGAACACCAAAUGCGAAGGCAACUUUCUGGAUCACUACUGACACUGAGGAGCGAAAGCAUGGGUAGCGAAGAGGAUUAGAUACCCUCGUAGUCCAUGCUGUAAACGAUGUGUGCUAGACGUUGGAAAUUUAUUUUUCAGUGUCGCAGCAAAAGCGUUAAGCACACCGCCUGGGGAGUAC